AUUGAACGCUGGCGGAAUGCUUUACACAUGCAAGUCGAACGGCAGCACGGGGCAACCUGGUGGCGGGUGGCGAACGGGUGAGUAAUACAUCGGAACGUGCCCAAUCGUGGGGGAUAACGUAGCGAAAGUUACGCUAAUACCGCAUACGAUCUACGGAUGAAAGCGGGGGAUCGCAAGACCUCGCGCGAAUGGAGCGGCCGAUGUCAGAUUAGGUAGUUGGUGGGGUAAAGGCUCACCAAGCCAACGAUCUGUAGCUGGUCUGAGAGGACGACCAGCCACACUGGAACUGAGACACGGUCCAGACUCCUACGGGAGGCAGCAGUGGGGAAUUUUGGACAAUGGGCGCAAGCCUGAUCCAGCCAUUCCGCGUGCAGGAUGAAGGCCUUCGGGUUGUAAACUGCUUUUGUACGGAACGAAACGGUCUGCCCUAAUACGGCGGGCUAAUGACGGUACCGUAAGAAUAAGCACCGGCUAACUACGUGCCAGCAGCCGCGGUAAU
Molecule: ribosomal RNA, 499 nt
Filed under: uncultured bacterium
Lineage: Bacteria
Description: bacterial SSU rRNA
Rfam family: Bacterial small subunit ribosomal RNA
Source: RNAcentral